This 1229-nucleotide long non-coding RNA is filed under the name Oncorhynchus mykiss (rainbow trout). RNAcentral's name for it is "lncRNA (ENSOMYG00000073605.1)". Lineage: Eukaryota; Metazoa; Chordata; Actinopteri; Salmoniformes; Salmonidae. The record is from RNAcentral.
AUGGGAUGCUUGGCUUUUUCUUUGUCUUGGAUAUUCGCUCUGAUGUUUCAGCCUCUUCUGGAGCUUCUAGCUGCUGGCUGUCUGGCCCCCCCUGAUGGUUCUCUGGCCCCUCCUGCUGGUUCUCUGAACUCCCCUCCUGGUUCUCUGCCCAUGCCUGUUGCCUCCUUGGCCUUUCCUGGUGGCCAUCAGCAGAUCCAGUGGGCUCUUGGCUUACUUGUUGGCCAUUGGCCCACCCGGGCAACUCCUGACCGUGGUUGUAAUCGUGGCUGUGUUGGGUGGUUAGACACCGGGUGUUGAUUUGAGCAUCAGCCUCCAGAUUCAUCUGCUCCAGGUAGUUUUCCUUCAUCCUCUCCCUCUCCUCCUUCAGUUGUUGAUGAGUCUGUUUUUUAAGCAGGGACCGCUCUCUCCACUGCUUAUUGAAAUCCUCCAUCUUCUUCCUUCUCUCCUCAGCCUUCAGCAGCUCCUUCCUCUUCUCCCUCUCUCUCUCUGCCCGGGUCAUGGUGGAUGUUAGCCUUGUGUGUCCAGGGAUGGCUGGGAGGGGAGAAGAAGUAGAGUUCACAUUCAACUUAGUGGAUCUGGUAUCAACUUAAAUGUAAUGGACACAGGGAAUGAAGAAUAGAAAACACAAUUGGAUCUCACUGAUUAUUUACUCUUUUCAGUUGAGCAAGGCAUGGAAUUUGUGAAUUAAGUGCAAUAAUCCCCAUCCCAAAUUGACCUGGCCCUAAGUUGAACAUGUGUCCAGAAUGGCACCUAUUCUUUGUAUAGUGCCAGGGCUUAUGUGAUCGCUUAGGGCCCCAUGGCCACUAGUAGCCCCCGGAUCCCCCCAAAACACGUUUUUGUGUGUGUGUUUUUAGGAACUCUUUCUGGGUCUCUACUUAGUCUUGAGAGUUAGACUAGUAGAUGACACAAGGUACCAUUUAAAAACGUGGUUGUUAUCAGCAGUAUUUUUCUUGUUAUGUCAGUCAGUCACUCAAUGAGCCAUGUCAGCUAACAUAUUCUUUGGACAGUAGUUUUAUAUUGAAACAAUGAUGCGACAUGAUGACUGGUGUGGAACUUAUGUGUGUAGAGGAGACUAAAGAGGAUGAUGUCAUAAGUAGAGGGAAAACAGGUCUUACCUAUGUGGACGAUCUUAUGGCCCUCCUCAGCCUCUCUCUGAUACGUUCUCUCUAUCUUUCUGAGGUUCCUCUUCUCCCAUUUUUUAUUCACCCAGCCCACGGCUCUCCUUCGGA